GACGAACGCUGGCGGCGCGCUUAACACAUGCAAGUCGAGCGAGAACCAUGGCUUCGGCCAUGGGGACAGCGGCGAACGGGUGAGUAACACGUGGGCAAUCUGCCCUCGGCACUGGGAUAGCCCGGGGAACCCGGAUUAAUACCGGAUAGCCUCUCGAGCUCACGGGCUCGUGAGAAAAGAUGGCUUCGGCUUUCGGCUGAGGAGGAGCCUGCGGCGGAUUAGUC
This 224-nucleotide ribosomal RNA is filed under the name uncultured bacterium. RNAcentral describes it as "partial 16S ribosomal RNA". It matches the Rfam family "Bacterial small subunit ribosomal RNA", at positions 28 to 246 of the family's 1533-position model. The record is from RNAcentral.